This 407-nucleotide ribosomal RNA is filed under the name uncultured bacterium. Its description in RNAcentral is "partial 16S ribosomal RNA". It matches the Rfam family "Bacterial small subunit ribosomal RNA", at positions 28 to 526 of the family's 1533-position model. The record is from RNAcentral.
GACGACCGCUGGCGGCGUGCCUAAUACAUGCAAGUAGGACGCAGUUGCGAACGGGUGAGUAACGCGUAGGUAACUACCUAUUAGAGGGGGAUAACUAUUGGAAACGAUAGCUAAUACCGCAUACUAGUAGAUGGACCUGCGUUGUAUUAGCUAGUAGGUAGGGUAAUGGCCUACCUAGGCAACGAUACAUAGCCGACCUGGGAGGGUGAUCGGCCAAAACGGGAAGGGGAAACGGCCAAGAAUCCGACGGUAGGCAGCAGUAGGGAAUCUUCGGCAAUGGGGGGAAACCUGACCGAGCAACGCCGCGUGAGUGAAGAAGGUUUUCGGAUCGUAAAGCUAUGUUGUUAAGGAAGCGGUACUUAACCAGAAAGGGACGGCUAACUACGUGCCAGCAGCCGCGGUAAUAC